UAGGGAAUCUUCCACAAUGGACGCAAGUCUGAUGGAGCAACGCCGCGUGAGUGAAGAAGGUUUUCGGAUCGUAAAGCUCUGUUGUUGGUGAAGAAGGAUAGAGGCAGUAACUGGUCUUUAUUUGACGGUAAUCAACCAGAAAGUCACGGCUAACUACGUGCCAGCAGCCGCGGUAAUACGUAGGUGGCAAGCGUUGUCCGGAUUUAUUGGGCGUAAAGCGAGCGCAGGCGGAAUGAUAAGUCUGAUGUGAAAGCCCACGGCUCAACCGUGGAACUGCAUCGGAAACUGACAUGCUUGAGUGCAGAAGAGGAGAGUGGAAUUCCAUGUGUAGCGGUGGAAUGCGUAGAUAUAUGGAAGAACACCAGUGGCGAAGGCGGCUCUCUGGUCUGCAACUGACGCUGAGGCUCGAAAGCAUGGGUAGCGAACAGG
Molecule: ribosomal RNA, 429 nt
Filed under: bacterium
Lineage: Bacteria
Description: partial 16S ribosomal RNA
Rfam family: Bacterial small subunit ribosomal RNA
Source: RNAcentral